CACGCGGGUUGAUGAGAGAACAAACACAACCCGAUCGUCCCGCCAUCAAACACGGCGGUGCACGGCUGAGGGCAGUCUUCAAAGUUCUCUGACCGCAUG
Molecule: small nucleolar RNA, 99 nt
Filed under: Chlamydomonas reinhardtii
Lineage: Eukaryota; Viridiplantae; Chlorophyta; Chlorophyceae; Chlamydomonadales; Chlamydomonadaceae
Description: CrCD18c snoRNA
Source: RNAcentral